GUAACAAGGUCUCCGUUGGUGAACCAGCGGAGGGAUCAUUACCGAGUUUACAACUCCCAAACCCCUGUGAACAUACCAAUUGUUGCCUCGGCGGAUCAGCCCGCUCCCGGUAAAACGGGACGGCCCGCCAGAGGACCCCUAAACUCUGUUUCUAUAUGUAACUUCUGAGUAAAACCAUAAAUAAAUCAAAACUUUCAACAACGGAUCUCUUGGUUCUGGCAUCGAUGAAGAACGCAGCAAAAUGCGAUAAGUAAUGUGAAUUGCAGAAUUCAGUGAAUCAUCGAAUCUUUGAACGCACAUUGCGCCCGCCAGUAUUCUGGCGGGCAUGCCUGUUCGAGCGUCAUUUCAACCCUCAAGCCCAGCUUGGUGUUGGGACUCGCGAGUUAAAUCGCGUUCCCCAAAUUGAUUGGCGGUCACGUCGAGCUUCCAUAGCGUAGUAGUAAAACCCUCGUUACUGGUAAUCGUCGCGGCCACGCCGUUAAACCCCAACUUCUGAAUGUUGACCUCGGAUCAGGUAGGAAUACCCGCUGAACUUAAGCAUAUCAAU
RNAcentral lists this ribosomal RNA (547 nucleotides) under Fusarium circinatum. RNAcentral describes it as "eukaryotic LSU rRNA". The stretch from base 190 to 343 matches the Rfam family "5.8S ribosomal RNA". The record is from RNAcentral. Lineage: Eukaryota; Fungi; Ascomycota; Sordariomycetes; Hypocreales; Nectriaceae.